RNAcentral lists this ribosomal RNA (301 nucleotides) under uncultured bacterium. RNAcentral's name for it is "partial 16S ribosomal RNA". It matches the Rfam family "Bacterial small subunit ribosomal RNA", at positions 509 to 807 of the family's 1533-position model. The record is from RNAcentral.
CAGCAGCCGCGGGAAAACGUAGGGUGCAAGCGUUAAUCGGAAUUACUGGGCGUAAAGCGUGCGCAGGCGGUGUUGUAAGACUGAUGUGAAAUCCCCGGGCUCAACCUGGGAACUGCAUUUGUGACUGGCAAGCUAGAGUGUGGCAGAGGGGGGUGGAAUUCCGCGUGUAGCAGUGAAAUGCGUAGAUAUGCGGAGGAACACCGAUGGCGAAGGCAGCCCCCUGGGCCAACACUGACGCUCAUGCACGAAAGCGUGGGGAGCAAACAGGAUUAGAUACCCCUGUAGUCCCUGUCUCUUAUAC